CAGUAGCCGCGGGAAUACGUAGGGUGCGAGCGUUAAUCGGAAUUACUGGGCGUAAAGCGUGCGCAGGCGGUUGUGUAAGACAGGUGUGAAAUCCCCGGGCUUAACCUGGGAACUGCGCUUGUGACUGCACAGCUAGAGUAUGGCAGAGGGGGGUGGAAUUCCACGUGUAGCAGUGAAAUGCGUAGAGAUGUGGAGGAACACCGAUGGCGAAGGCAGCCCCCUGGGCCAAUACUGACGCUCAUGCACGAAAGCGUGGGGAGCGAACAGGAUUAGAUACCCCCGUAGUCCCUGUCUCUUAUAC
RNAcentral lists this ribosomal RNA (301 nucleotides) under uncultured bacterium. Its description in RNAcentral is "partial 16S ribosomal RNA". It matches the Rfam family "Bacterial small subunit ribosomal RNA", at positions 509 to 807 of the family's 1533-position model. The record is from RNAcentral.